This 393-nucleotide ribosomal RNA is filed under the name uncultured archaeon. RNAcentral's name for it is "bacterial SSU rRNA". It matches the Rfam family "Archaeal small subunit ribosomal RNA", at positions 355 to 747 of the family's 1478-position model. The record is from RNAcentral.
AUGCACGAAAGUGUGAUAGGGGGAUACUCAGUGCUUACGCUUAUGGUGUAGGCUUUUGUCGAUCGUAAAUAGAUCGGCGAAUAAGUGGUGGGUAAGACUGGUGCCAGCCGCCGCGGUAACCCCAGCGCCACAAGUGGUUAUCACGAUUAUUGGGCCUAAAGCGUUCGUAGCUGGUUUGGUAAAUCUCUUGUGAAAUUGUUCGGCUUAACCGGACAGCGUGCAGGAGAGACUGCCAAGCUCGAGACCGGGAGGCGUAUGAAGUAUUCCAUGGGGACUGGUAAAAUGGGAUAAUCCAUGGAAGACUACCGAUGGCGAAGGCAUCAUACGAGAACGGAUCUGACAGUGAGGAACGAAAGCCAGGGGAGCGAACCGGAUUAGAUACCCCCGUAGUCC